AGGAGGGUGCCCGAUUGGGUUAGAACCCUAGACGCCACUCCUCGCCGUGCCCAUCGCCAUCCCGCGCCGCCGCUACAUCUCCCCUCGCCCCCCGCGCCGCCGCCACAUCUCCUCCGCCACACUCAGCCGUGCCCCUCGCCCUCCCGCGCCGCCGCCGCCGCAUCUGCUCCUCCCCAUUGGAUCUCUCACGCCGCCCCUGUCUUUCCUUCUUGUCCUGCAUCACUCGGAGGGCUGCAGCUGCCGCUCAUGUCGCUGCUCCCCGUGCGAGCUCACGCGUCACCAUCCCGGGAGGAGUUGAGGCUGCCGCUCACGUAGCUGCUCUGCCCGGCGAAGCUCGUCGUCACCAUCUCCAUCGUCCGCAGGAGUGGCAGGCAGCACCGAAAGACGAUUCAAAAGCGACCGGCGAGGGCGUCGAGCCGAGGGUUUUCAACGAUAAUAUAAGCAGGCUAACAAGGAAAGACAGCUUUAUGCAUUUCAGCAAGUACCUUUUCAGAUGUGCAGUUUGGCCUAUGAGCUUGCGGAUGCUAAGAAGUUUCAGAGCGAAUGACGUUCUCGAUGAUGGAGAGGGACCGGCUCGGCCUCAGCGGCCUUCUCCCACCGGUUCAGUCGUUUCCUAGCAGCAGCCAGGUCGACCGAUUUCAGAGAAGCUUAGGCGCGAUUUUGCAAUGAAGGGGGGCACAUCUAUGGGCAAUGAUCGAGGACAAUACCAUCAGUCAGUGAGUAGAAUCACAAGCCUACCCCUUAUCGACAGGGAGUCUUCGAUGGUUCGUCUGCCUCAUCGGCGUUCAACGGGGGUGCGAAGAGAUCCUGACCAUCUCAACGGACAGCCCCGCUCACUACUUAUGCAACAUAAGGAUUCCAG
Long non-coding RNA from Aegilops tauschii subsp. strangulata, 862 nucleotides. RefSeq lists it as uncharacterized. The record is from RefSeq and is a predicted model, not a curated record. Lineage: Eukaryota; Viridiplantae; Streptophyta; Magnoliopsida; Poales; Poaceae.